Non-coding RNA from Acanthosepion pharaonis, 113 nucleotides. NCBI's taxonomy places the organism in Eukaryota, Metazoa, Mollusca, Cephalopoda, Sepiida, Sepiidae. The record is from the annotation of a GenBank genome assembly.
UCUGGCCACAUCACGUUGAAAAAACCGGUUCUCGUACGAUCACAUGAAUUAAACAACGUCGAGCCUGGUCAGUACUUCGAUGGGUGACCACUUGGGAAUACCAGAUGCAGUAA